AUGACGCUGCGCGACGGUGCCGUGGACCUGUGGGCGAUGGCCGCGGAGCUGGAGCGGCAGUUCGCCGGGUACAAGCAGCGCCUGGCCUCCUCCGGGAGGAUCAGCAGCCUCGUCGACGUCGACGACGACGCCCACGUCCUCGUCCUCGCCCCCGCACCCGAUGACGACGCCGGCGGCGGUGUCGUGGGCAACGGCCGCGUCGAGGAGGAGGAGGACGCGGCGGUCGGAGGCGUGCGGGGGAGGAUGUACGAGGCGUACACGCGGCGGCGGGACGAGCGGCUGCGCUCUGUUUGGCGCGCGCGCAUGGAGCGCAAGGAGGCUGAGGUCAUGGCGCUCUGGGCGCAGCUCGACGCCCGCGCCGGGCCCGGACGCGGCGGCGCUGGCCCGGCCACCGCGGAGGACGGCGGCGCGGCCGGAGAGCAGGAAACCGAGGGCGGCGGCGAGAGGAGAAGGAGCUCUGACGUGGCUGCUCCGGGCAUGGUCUCCGGCAAGAAGCACCCGCGCACCAGGAGGAGCUUCUCGUCGGCCAACCUGGUCAAAAGCACCCGCCCUGACGUCGGGAUACGGCGCGCGGUCUCGCAGGAACCACCCGAGCCACCGGCAGGCACUGACGACGGCGCCGGCAGGAAGCACGGCCACCGAGCCCGGCCAGUGACCGGCGCCGCGCCGAAGCGCAAGGCCUUGUCGGGGAGCAAGAGCGCCUCGACGAAGGGGCACGGCUCACUCAGGCAGGCUGGCCCGAAGCCGAAGCCGCCGCGCAGCUUCCCCCGGCCGUCCAGCUCCGGCGGCAUGGAGGUUGUCAGGGAAGCAGCGCUGCCGCAGAACGCGAACGUGGCUGCACCGAUGAGCGACCUUGGUGCUGCUUCCGACAUUGGUGAAGCUCAGAAGGCUUCUUCCCGAAUACCGUUCUUGGCGUGUGACAAUGGCACUGUCACCGAGAACGCGCGAGCCGCUUCGCCGGCAUCAGAUGGCGGCGAGGUAGUGGACAGUGCAGCUCCAGCAGUAGAUGGCGACGAACCUGAAGCGAAGAAUGGAGAGCUCGCCAGCGACCUGGAGAGACGCGAUGCCGAGGAGAUCGUGGUGCGGUCGCCGGAGGCGAAGCUUGGUAACGGAGAGAUCACCAGCGACUCGGAGACCGAGCCGAGCUACGUCUUCAUCAAGAAGAAGGCCGUCGUUGAGGAGGAGGAAGCCGCGAGGCUCUCUGACGCAUUGGCUGGACCAGGAUCUGAUGAACCACAUAUCCAGGUCAGGAAUGGCACAGACGAGGUGCCGACGGCGGCGAAUGCCGAAGAAGCGCCGGCGAGGGGAAGCGCCGACUCGGUCUCCUCCAUGUCAGGCCGGGGCUCCGCUCCCAGCAGCCCGCCCUCCUGCAGCUCCCGGGCCCAGUCCAUCGAGAGGCUGCUCGGGGAGGACGCCGCGCAGCUGCGGAAGAGGCGAGAGGACCAGAGCGCCACCGGAGGGAGGAGCGUCCCGGCGGUGUCGACACCGGGCAGCGCGGGGAGAAGGGCCUACGGCGCGGUGCCGACGACGUCUCCGAGAGGGACGGCGAUGGGGUUCAAGAAGAGGUUCCUGAGCUUCGGGAAGAAGAACAGAGGCAGCAGGGAGGGCGCUACCACGGUCAUCGUCGACUGCAGCUCUCCGACGAUCGACGACGACGACGGCGCGAACGAGCGGUGGCCGGCCGCCGCCGACUCGAUCAGGCCCAGGAUGCUGGGCUCCUCCCCGGACGCUGCCUCCGACGACACGGAUCAAUAUGCCGCCUCGCCACAGGCCUGCUCUCUGCAGAGCCUCGUGGCUGCUGCUGCUUCUCCUGCAAAGUCUGAGCUGUGUGAGAUAGUUCCACCAGAGAAAUCACCAAAAGCUCACCGUUCGUUCUUCUCGCUCCGGUCCUUCAACUGUGGCCGGAGCUAG
This 1911-nucleotide ribosomal RNA is filed under the name Triticum aestivum (bread wheat). RNAcentral's name for it is "partial small subunit ribosomal RNA". Lineage: Eukaryota; Viridiplantae; Streptophyta; Magnoliopsida; Poales; Poaceae. The record is from RNAcentral.